GUCUCGUGACUGCGUGCCUUUUGAAGAAUGAGCCUGCGAGUUUGCGGUGUGUUGCGAGGUUAACCCGGGUGGGGUAGCCGUAGCGAAAGCGAGUCCGAACAGGGCGUUUCAGUAGCACGCUCAAGACCCGAAGCGGAGUGAUCUAGCCAUGGGCAGGUUGAAGCGGAGGUAAGACUUCGUGGAGGACCGAACCCACCAGGGUUGAAAACCUGGGGGAUGACCUGUGGUUAGGGGUGAAAGGCCAAUCAAACUCCGUGAUAGCUGGUUCUCCCCGAAAUGCAUUUAGGUGCAGCGUCGUGUGUUUCUUGCCGGAGGUAGAGCACUGGAUAGGCGAUGGGCCCUACCGGGUUACUGACCUUAGCCAAACUCCGAAUGCCGGUAAGUGAGAGCGCGGCAGUGAGACUGUGGGGGAUAAGCUCCAUGGUCGAGAGGGAAACAGCCCAGAGCAUCGACUAAGGCCCCUAAGCGUACGCUAAGUGGGAAAGGAUGUGGAGUCGCACAGACAACCAGGAGGUUGGCUUAGAAGCAGCCACCCUUGAAAGAGUGCGUAAUAGCUCACUGGUCUAGUGAUUCCGCGCCGACAAUGUAGCGGGGCUCAAGCGUACCGCCGAAGUCGUGUCAUUCACAUAUAUAGCCCCAACGGGUGUGUGGAUGGGUAGGGGAGCGUCGUGUGCCGGGUGAAGCAGCGCCGGAAGGCAGUUGUGGACGGUUCACGAGUGAGAAUGCAGGCAUGAGUAGCGAUACAAACGUGAGAAACGUUUGCGCCGAUUGACUAAGGGUUCCUGGGUCAAGCUGAUCUGCCCAGGGUAAGUCGGGACCUAAGGCGAGGCCGACAGGCGUAGUCGAUGGAUAACCGGUUGAUAUUCCGGUACCCGCUGUGAAGCGUCAAACAUCGAGCAUCGUGAUGCUAAGGCCGUGAAGCCGUUCCGGACCCUUCGGGGAAAGGAAAGUGGUGGAGCCGCCGGACCAAGCGGUUAGUAGGUGAGUGAUGGGGUGACGCAGGAAGGUAGUCCAUCCCGGGCGGUGGUUGUCCCGGGGUAAGGGUGUAGGCCGUGCGAUAGGUAAAUCCGUCGUACAUGAGGCUGAGACCUGAUGCCGAGCCGAUUGUGGUGAAGUGGAUGAUCCUAUGCUGUCGAGAAAAGCCUCUAGCGAGUUUCAUGGCGGCCCGUACCCUAAACCGACUCAGGUGGUCAGGUAGAGAAUACCGAGGCGUUCGGGUGAACUAUGGUUAAGGAACUCGGCAAAAUGCCCCCGUAACUUCGGGAGAAGGGGGGCCACGCCUGGUGAUCACUCUUGCAGUGUGAGCUGGGGGUGGCCGCAGAGACCAGCGAGAAGCGACUGUUUACUAAAAACACAGGUCCGUGCGAAGCCGUAAGGCGAUGUAUACGGACUGACGCCUGCCCGGUGCUGGAACGUUAAGGGGACCGGUUAGUCACUCUUCGGGGUGGCGAAGCUGAGAACUUAAGCGCCAGUAAACGGCGGUGGUAACUAUAACCAUCCUAAGGUAGCGAAAUUCCUUGUCGGGUAAGUUCCGACCUGCACGAAUGGCGUAACGACUUCUCGACUGUCUCAACCAUAGGCCCGGUGAAAUUGCACUACGAGUAAAGAUGCUCGUUUCGCGCAGCAGGACGGAAAGACCCCGGGACCUUUACUACAGUUUGAUAUUGGUGUUCGGUUCGGCUUGUGUAGGAUAGCUGGGAGACUUUGAAGCUCGCACGCCAGUGUGGGUGGAGUCGUCGUUGAAAUACCAGUCUGGUCGUGCUGGAUGUCUAACCUGGGUCCGUGAUCCGGAUCAGGGACAGUGUCUGAUGGGUAGUUUAACUGGGGCGGUUGCCUCCUAAAGAGUAACGGAGGCGCCCAAAGGUUCCCUCAGCCUGGUUGGCAAUCAGGUGUUGAGUGUAAGUGCACAAGGGAGCUUGACUGUGAGACCGACGGGUCGAGCAGGGACGAAAGUCGGGACUAGUGAUCCGGCGGUGGCUUGUGGAAGCGCCGUCGCUCAACGGAUAAAAGGUACCCCGGGGAUAACAGGCUGAUCUUCCCCAAGAGUCCAUAUCGACGGGAUGGUUUGGCACCUCGAUGUCGGCUCGUCGCAUCCUGGGGCUGGAGUCGGUCCCAAGGGUUGGGCUGUUCGCCCAUUAAAGCGGUACGCGAGCUGGGUUUAGAACGUCGUGAGACAGUUCGGUCCCUAUCCGCUGUGCGCGUAGGAGUCUUGAGAAGGGCUGUCCCUAGUACGAGAGGACCGGGACGGACGAACCUCUGGUGUGCCAGUUGUUCUGCCAAGGGCAUGGCUGGUUGGCUACGUUCGGGAGGGAUAACCGCUGAAAGCAUCUAAGCGGGAAGCCUGCUUCGAGAUGAGGACUCCCACCCACUUGAUGGGGUAAGGCUCCCAGUAGACGACUGGGUUGAUAGGCCGGAUCUGGAAGCACCGUGAGGUGUGGAGGUGACCGGUACUAAUAGGCCGAGGGCUUGUCCUC
This 2474-nucleotide ribosomal RNA is filed under the name Streptomyces lancefieldiae. Its description in RNAcentral is "Streptomyces sp. DSM 40712 partial 23S ribosomal RNA". It matches the Rfam family "Bacterial large subunit ribosomal RNA", at positions 588 to 2925 of the family's 2925-position model. The record is from RNAcentral. Lineage: Bacteria; Bacillati; Actinomycetota; Actinomycetes; Kitasatosporales; Streptomycetaceae.